This is a ribosomal RNA of 157 nucleotides. It matches the Rfam family "Bacterial small subunit ribosomal RNA", at positions 1382 to 1533 of the family's 1533-position model.
UGUACACACCGCCCGUCACACCAUGGGAGUGGGUUGCUCCAGAAGUAGAUAGUCUAACCCUCGGGAGGACGUUUACCACGGAGUGAUUCAUGACUGGGGUGAAGUCGUAACAAGGUAGCCCUAGGGGAACCUGGGGCUGGAUCACCUCCUUAUACGA